CCGGUAACCCAUCAGAGGGGAGUAACACUUGGAAACAGGUGCUAAUACCGCAUAACAGUUAUGCCGCAUGGCAUAAGAGUGAAAGGCGCUUUCGAGUGUCGCUGAUGGAUGGACCCGCGGUGCAUUAGCUAGUUGGUGAGGUAACGGCUCACCAAGGCCACGAUGCAUAGCCGACCUGAGAGGGUGAUCGGCCACACUGGGACUGAGACACGGCCCAG
This 218-nucleotide ribosomal RNA is filed under the name uncultured bacterium. RNAcentral's name for it is "partial 16S ribosomal RNA". It matches the Rfam family "Bacterial small subunit ribosomal RNA", at positions 118 to 334 of the family's 1533-position model. The record is from RNAcentral.